This 484-nucleotide ribosomal RNA is filed under the name uncultured bacterium. RNAcentral's name for it is "partial 16S ribosomal RNA". It matches the Rfam family "Bacterial small subunit ribosomal RNA", at positions 30 to 507 of the family's 1533-position model. The record is from RNAcentral.
AUUGAACGCUGGCGGCAGGCCUAACACAUGCAAGUCGAGCGGAUGAAGGGAGCUUGCUCCUGGAUUAAUCGGCGGACGGGUGAGUAAUGCUUAGGAAUCUGCCUGGUCGUGGGGGAUAACGUCCUGAAACGGGCGCUAAUACCGCAUACGUCCUGUGGGAGAAAGUGGGGGAUCUUCGGACGUCACGCUUUUAGAUGAGCCUAGGUCGGAUGAGAUUGUUGGUGGGGUAAAGGCCUCCAAAUGCGUGGUUCCGUAACUGGUCUGAGAGGAUGAUCAGUCACAAAGAAACUGAGACACAGACCAGACGCCAACGGGAGGCAGGAGGAGAAGAUAUGGGGCGAAGGGCGAAAGCCUAACCCAGCCAUGCCGCGUGUGUGAAGGAGGUCUUCGGAUUGUAAAGCACUGUAAGUUGGGAGGAAGGGCAGUAAGUUAAUAUCUUGCGUUUUUGACGUUACCAGCAGAAUAAGCACCGGCUAACUUCGUG